UAUAUUUUCUUGAUCAGGGUCAAUAGCCGAGUCGAUCUGGCCGUGCCCGUCCGCCUGUCCGUCUGUUUGGCCUUAUAAACGUCGAGAUCUCAGGAGCUUUAAGAGCUAGAACUCAACCUUCUAUUAAGCAUACAGAUCUGCCAAAGGAAUGAAUGAGAGCGCCAGGCCAAACGUACCCCAAAUAACGGAAACGAUUUCAAGGCCGCGGAGAGGAUCAUUUUUGAAGAAACACAGAAAAUCGAUUACAAUGAAGUAGGAGCAUCAUUUGACCAAAUUUAUUGAAAAUUCAACGCUGGGUUUAUGAAUAUGUACCAGACCUAGCUCGACGAAGGAAUUGGUUUACCAAUCGACCACCCCUAUCGGUCGCUGACGUAGUCUUGAUCAUAGAAAAUGCCACAUAACUGCUGGCCCAAGGACAUGGUCGAGAAUGUCAUUCUAGCGAAUUAUGGCCUUGUACAUUCAGGGGACCAAACGUAGAUGGCGGCCUCAAACAUUCUUACCCCCAUAGAUAACGCUGCCGACACCAGCUGCCACAAGCGCUACAAACAGCCUCUACAAAAUCAGACUGCCUCAUGUCUUUGGCGUGGUAUCUCCCUACGAAUCGACCUGGUAAAUCUUCUAAAUCGUAGUACGAAUUCCCAAACUUUCUCCGGACCCGAACUUUCAGGUAAUUCGGACCCCAUUUGGCAUUAUACCUCGCUUGAAAAUUACUCUGCCUGUAAUUCUUACGAAACACUUCCUGGCCCACAUUAUAAGAUAUUACUCUGGAUAAGAGGUUGUAAAGCCGCUGAUUCUUAUCAUUUUGAUUUUUCAUUACUUCCACGACCUUAUUGCUCACUAACUCCAAGGAACCCUCCCUAGCGAAAACCAAGGACCGAUCUUGAAUCAACCCCUAAGCUCCUAACAAUUUAUAUGUAGAUCCUGAGCCCGCGAAGUGCUGCCCGAACACCAUAUAAUAUGGAGUAGUUCCCAAACUAGAAAGCACCGCGUAUCUCAACGCACAGCAAAUACAACUCAGCUCUUCGUUCCAAUUUUUCUGAUCUGGCUUGACGUACGACCGGAUCGCCGCUAAUACCGACCUAUUUACCCUUUCAGAAGCAUUCGACUGCGGUGAAUAUACCGCCGUGAGGUUGUGACGCAUCCUGUAAUCCCGAAGGAAUUUCUGGAACGUGUCAGACUUGAACUGAGAACCGUUAUCCGACACAACCGUUUCAGGCACCCCGAACGUAUGGAACAAAUCCUGUUGCAAAUACAUUGGCCGUAAGCUUCUUCACUGUCUUGAGUAAAACGAACUUCGAAUAAUGGUCAAAUACAGAAAUUUACCAAUGUCGAUUUUCGAACGCGGAUAAGGACCCAAAACGUCUAUGUAUAUUUUUUGGAGGAACCUUUCUGACUCCGGUGGCACACCAAUAGGUGUUCUGAAUUAGACGCCAUAGGAUUUAACAUCUUUUACCAAUCCUGGCCAAUAAUAAUAUCUUCAAACUCGUUCUAAGGUCUUGUGUAUUCCGUGUGAACUUAUUGGAUGUUAAUGGGCAUUUUUUAAAACACUCUGGACUAAGCCCUCUGGGAUCCACAACUUCCAGACAAACUGAUCAUGCAAACAAUCACCGGUGACUUGAUCCAUUCUCCUAUCAACUAAUUUAAUAUCUGGCAACAAGUUGUUGUUCGCCUUCAACCGUUCAACCAAUUCCUUGUACUUGUCGGACUUGAACUCUGACGAAUCCAAAUCGACUAUCAAGCCUUGGCUGGAAUCUAACGCGGCUACAAUCUCCUCAUUUACCCGAGAUAACGCGUCUGGCACAACAUUCUUUUCUUUUGUUGAUCAUCCUUUUGUACCCCACCUCGUAGCUCUGUGGCAACACAACGUGGCCGUCUUUCAGAGUAAUCCCGUCUGGUAGCGACGCCCUACUCCCUUUGUGCCCGCACAUCGUCGCUGGCUGCGACUUGUGGCGGUGGCUUCACUCUAAAGUUCUCCAUGUCGAAGUAGUCUUCUACCAACUGUUAUCUGCAGACUCAUCACCCUCCGACAAGCUCCGUACAGCGUAACGGACAGUCAACGCAGCUUAAAUUUCUUUGAGUGGGUGCUUCCGCUUUACGCCGAGCCCUUCACUCUAGGUUGUUUCUGCUAACUGUUCGCUGCUGGUUUCCUUCUUGGUCCUUUGGCUGCGUCUGAAAAUUGCUGAUUGCUGAUUCCCUCCGUAGCGUCUCAAACCGUAGCUGCUCCGCCUUCGCUGACUGCAAGAUAGCCGCCAGGCUGCUCACUCGAGUCGCGAAGGGAAUGAUCUUCGCCAAAUUGUGCUCCAAGAUCGGCAGAGCCUAAAGGAUGAAUUAGUAGCAUCUUCCCUUUCUCGAGGGCUUCAUCCUUCAACAACCUCGGGUUGUUCUCCAAUUCUCCAAUUGUACUCUCUGGUCGUCUCCACGAACGCACAGGUGAAGAUCCGGAAGAUUUCGUGGCCCAUAUGCUCCCUGUAUUCCAUUCGGCGUUAUCGCGGCGUAGGAUACAAUAAGUGGCGAUGCUGUUGCCACAUUGUGGACGCUUACGCCCGGUAAAACUAAUCCAUGCGCUGGCAGCACAAUGCUUGUUGCACACAGUGAGUCCUGCGUUGAUGUGGCAGUCCUGAGACAGAUUGUUGUUGCAUCUUACUCCAAAGGUGCGUUUGUAGAGGUACGUCUCCAACAGCUUAUGCCCCGAAAUACGGCAGCACUUGUUUAAUUUUGAACAUAAGUCCGUCGAGCCUUACUCUGUAAAAAGUCUUAGCUACGACCAGAUAUGUGUAGUGCUGACCAAUACACUUAAUUUCAAAGGCACUGCGUAUUUCUGUAAUAAUAACCAGGUUCCGUGUUUUUAUCGAAAACUAAAUUGGCGCGAUGGAAUUAUAUUGCGCUGCAUGAGACGUCAAUAGAAGAGUAAAUUCUAAGAGUUUCGAAAGGCUGUUAGUAAAUUGGUUGUCUUUUUCCACCGCAUAUUUUUGUGUAUUAUGCAAUACGCACAGACAUUACGGUGGUAAAACACCGCAAGAGCAUAUUAUGCGGUGUGAGUAAUCCAGCCACCACUUCUUAAGCGAGUAUAUUUGUAGUGCUCAAAUCAGGCAUCGGUGCUAAUCUCUGGUAUCCAGGAAUGUAGAAAAUGUUAUUAUUUAUUAGAUGCAUUUCACAUAUCAAUAUUGUUGAGGCAAUGAGCUUUUUCAUUGACUUUAAGAAGUGGUGUGGCAAUUUAUAGACACUGUAAAGUUAAUGUUUCAAUUAAUAUUUCAGUUUUAUUUCAAUAUAUUUUGCCACACAGGGCUGUAGAGUAUAAAACGAACAGCGGCAGUGCCUGUAUCGAACCUAUUAAGAGUUAAAGUACAUCACAGCAGUACCGAUGCGAUCAACACUUAUUUUGUAACUGAGCUUGCUAUGCAGAAGGCAAAUGAGAAAGCUUCACAGAAUAAAGAUUAUGACAGCUGUGCUCGCUCUCUAUUGAGAGAGAUGAACAUAGCACAAAGGGGAAUGCAAAAUCUAUUGCUGCACAAAGCAAUGUACAAGAGUGAUAUAAUAAAUAACAUAACUGCAUAACCAAACAUCCUCACCCCGUUGGAGGUACAACAUCAUCCUGUUUGAGUAGAACUCAAGGUUUAGUGACGACUCUAUUGAAGAUUCCAGUGGCAGUUUUGAGAACGCUAUCGGGUCCAGGAUUUAUUACUCGAGCUAGUGGCUAUUUGAGGGUUGGCAGGUUUCCGUCUUUUACUAAAACGACAUCAUCGAUUUGAACGUCUGUUUUCUGUGCUCGCCGUUUGCAACGUUGUUGAAGAAGCGUUAGAUAUUCACGUCUCCACCUGCUCCAGAAUAUUUGCUGGUAGUAGGUGAUUGGCUGUCAGCGAUCCAAUCGGUUGAGAUUUAAUUUUUUUAGGUCAGGCUCAGCAAACAAGGCGAGGGGGCCGUGCCUAAGAAGUGCCCUAGCCUCGUCAAGGUGUUUUAAAAGAGAAACUAAAGGUCUUGAAUUAAUUAGGGCCGCAAUGUGGCAAAAGAGGGUGCGCAGGUCAUCAGCAGGAAAAACGGCAGGUCCAACAGCUCGGUAAAAAUAUGGAUAUUAAUGGAUUAAUGGCUUCAGUCUGCCACCAACUCUCAUGAGUCCAGAGUUGUCAAUGAUGGGUACGAGGGAUGCAAUUCAGCUCGAUGAUUUUACUUGUCGACUGUUGAGCAGGGCAUUAUAGUCCUCGGUAAGGUGUGCCAUCUCAUGCCUCCGGUGAGAUGAUUAACAGUCAGGCCGGGGUGCCUGAUACGAUAACGAAAUUUAAAGAUGUAUACAAAAACAUGUUCCAAUUUUUGCCAGGAGUUGACAAAUUUACAACUGGGAUGUCGAUGUCGGCAGGGGUCUUGAGAUUGAUGAGGGCCUUCUUCCUUAGCUCAGGGAGAACCUUUGGAGCGAGACCAGACUCUGGCCAGUGCGAUUUGUCUUCUUGAAGAUAGUCAGGACCAUGAGACCAAAGACUGGACUCGAUGAGCUCACUAGGAAGUGCCCUCAGGAAAGUAUGUCCGAUGGAUUGCAGGCUGUAGGAUCAUAAUGCCAUUCUAUGGCAUUUGACAGCUCCUGGACUAAAGAGAUGCGAUUAGAAAUAAAAGUUUGAAAGCGUGAAGGCUCAUCUCGUAUCCCGGAAGCACCACAGCAGAAUCUGGCCUGUAAUAAUCAGGGAUCCUCAGGUAUGGUGGAGGAUCGCGUAAUGCCCGCCCUGCCUUGGCCAUUUUUUACCAAAAAUCUCAAACAGGGAAUCACAGGGAGAACAUCCCAGUUAUAGGCAAACAAGUUAGUUUUUCAAAACAUUAUAAAAAGUGUAUAUUAUCAUAAAUAAAAUUUCUUACAGCUAUCAUA
Molecule: long non-coding RNA, 4849 nt
Organism: Drosophila sechellia
Lineage: Eukaryota; Metazoa; Arthropoda; Insecta; Diptera; Drosophilidae
Exons: 2
Source: RefSeq, a predicted model, not a curated record